CCUACGGGAGGCAGCAGUGUGGAAUAUUGGGCAAUGGGCGCAAGCCUGACGCAGCAACGCCGCGUGAGGGAAGAAGGCCCUCGGGUUGUAAACUUCUCUUAUUCGGGACGAAACAAAUGACGGUAACGAAUCAAUAAGCCACGGCUAACUACGUGCCAACAGCCGCGGUAAUACGUAGGGGGCAAGCGUUAUUCGGAUUUACUGGGUGUAAAGAGCGUGUAGGCGGGAUAGCAAGUCAGCCGUGAAAUUCCAGGGCUCAACGCUGGAACUGCGUUUGAAACUGUUCAUCUUGAGUGAUGGAGAGGCAGGCGGAAUUCCGGGUGUAGCGGUGAAAUGCGUAGAUAUACGGAGGAACACCAGUGGCGAAGGCGGCCUGCUGGAAAUUAACUGACGCUGAGGCGCGAAAGCGUGGGGAGCAAACAGGAUUAGAUACCCCGGUAGUC
RNAcentral lists this ribosomal RNA (443 nucleotides) under uncultured bacterium. Its description in RNAcentral is "partial 16S ribosomal RNA". It matches the Rfam family "Bacterial small subunit ribosomal RNA", at positions 338 to 795 of the family's 1533-position model. The record is from RNAcentral.